UUUUAGUAAUUCAAUUUAAAGUAGUGUUUCCUUACUUUGAUUUUCUAUACAUCACUGUUGAGAAAUUAAGUCACAUUUUCCCUUUUUAUCUACUGCUUACAAUAUCAUGACACCAUAGUCUGCUCAGUAGAGUCUACUGCACUGUGCCAUAACCCAUAACGCUAUACACACCCAUACUAUUAAUUUAAGCAGGAUUUUACUAUACUUCUUUUUCAUCCACCCCCUUAUAGUCAACCUGAACACCCUUAUUUUAGUGCUCCAAAUUGUUAUCCUUCAAAUCUCCCUUUCUUUAGGUACUAAGGUACUACAUCUCCCUCUUCUCCAAUAAUAUUCCAUAUUUUCAAUCAAGCAUGUACACACUUCUUUUCUCACUCUCUGGAUUUCAAAUGUACUUCGAUCUAUUUAGCUACAUUUCAGCUCUUCCCUAACAUAUUGUCACGUCUACAGUAUGACCCAACAUGCAAAACUAUGAUAACUCAAUAACAACGUAUACCCGGCCUUAGAAUGGCUGGACUUAACAUUAAAGAGAAAGAUCAAUAAACAAGCCAAUGUCAGGGAUACAGAAUAGGACAAUACGAAAAAAUUGUAGCCAAAGAUCAGGAUACCAGAAGUAGGGAAAGUCAAAAUACAAGCCAAUGUCAAAAAACAAAAAUUAUUAACAAGAACGCCCUCUCUGACAACAAGUGGAAACCUCGACAGGACACUGAGAAAAGACAUUACAGGGUUUAAAUAUGCCUCUUGGUGCUGUGGUCGAUCAGUAUGUGGCCUUUGUCCCCAAAACAUGCAUGUGCGCCGACAGCGUGGGUACUGUGUAUUUUUCUAUUAAGAACGGGAACGCUGCACCAGCCGGGACCCGUCUCACUGGUGUAACAAUAUCUUACCUUUCUCCUCCAGACCCGCACGGCAUGGCUUCCUCUUCCAACACUUCCGGGAGGCGGCGUAGUCUGACGCCAGCUGGUGCAAACACGCCACUUCUUAUGACGUGACGCAUGAACGUCAACGUCAUGACAAUAUGUUUCCAAACAUUCAAUUGAUUCCACGCCCCCUGACAUUUUGGGGUCGUGGAAUUAAAGCUACAAGCAUUACACUAUAAAAGGACGCCUUUUACGCUUAUCCAGCGCCCUAUUGUGGUUCUUUCUUGGUUCCCUCUAGUGCUAUAUAGUUUCUCUAUUGUUAUUCUGGUAUUUUGACUUCUGGCUUACGCUUUUUGACUAUUCUUCUCUCUGGUAUCCUGACUUCAACUUGUUUAUUUGUGUGUCCACUUUCUGGUAUCCCCUGACUCUUGACUAUUUCUUUGACUAUUCUAUAGCGUUAAACCUGGCCACACUAAGGUCCGGUAAUAUGCUUCCUUAUAGAUUGCACUCUGCGUGUUUGGGUCACUGUCGUGACAUUACAAUAGGGCCAUGGACCCUGCAAGUGCUAAUCUACAUGGGCCGGUUCAUGAUAACCGAUUUGAGGAAUUGGACCACCGUAUGGACCAGUUUGCCAUGGCUGUGCAAACAUUGUUGGCCCGUACUGCUCAUCUACAACCACAUGAGCAAAUACUGGUCCCUAUACCUAACGUCCAGAACAUGGAGAUAGACGCAGUGGGUUCAACAAACCACGCUACAUCUCCUCUGCAUUAUGGGGGUGAUCCCAAGGGAUGUAGUGGUUUUUUAAACCAAGUUAGCAUUAACUUUGAACUCCAUCCCCGAGCAUAUCCGACAGACAAGUCUAAAAUCGGAUAUAUAAUAACCGUCUUGGUCAAUAGGGCUUUAGUUUGGGCUAUCCCCUUAUGGGAGAACAACAAUUUAUCGUUGCCUUUAGGAGAACGUUUGACCCCCCUGGGAGAUGAACUAAUGCCGCUAAGACCCUUUUGCGCAUGAGGCAUACUUAUGCUGCUGAGGUGAAAUGGAAUGAACAGGCAUUUAUAGAUGUGUUCAUGAAUGGGCUCUCUGAAAAAAUACUGGAUGAGGUAGCUACUAGGGAUUUACCCAAUGCUUUAGAGGAUUUGAUAACUUACCUAGCCCACAUCGACGAACGCCCAAGACAUAGGCAAAACACUAGGGACAGGCCAAGACAUAUUCUGAAACGUUUGGCUUUAACCUUUCUUUCCUCUGAAGCAGCCACUGUCACUCCUUCUGAACCUAUGCAACUAGUUGCUACUCGGCUGUCUGAUGCUGAAAAGCAAUAUCGAAGAAGGGAGGGACUUUGCUUGUAUUGUGGGAAGAAGGGCCAUUCACAUCUAGCCUGCCCCAGUAGGCUGGAAGACUCCAACACCUAAGCCCUCCAGGAGUACAGGACUUGGGUGUAAUGUGUAUGUCUUCUAAGACUUCUACUACCCGUUAUUCUGGAAUGGGAAUUUCAUAGAUAUGAAUAUCGGUCAGAAACAUUCUCUCCCAUUUCAAGCAAGAUCCACACCCUGUCCGUUCCUUUUAUUACUAGAGCGACAAGGAAACGAUAAUCAUACAGCAGAUAACCUCUCCUACCUUCUCUGUCAUUCUUGGUUUUCCCUGGCUUUCCAAGCAUAGUCCUAUGAUAGAUUAGGAGAGGAAAGAAAUUAUUAGAUGGGGUGUUUCAUGUUUCGAAGGGUUUGCUUAAUGUUCCUACUAUGAUACCUUUAACGACUCUAGUACCAGAGGCAUAUCUUGAUCUUAAGGCAGUCUUUGAACAGAAGGAGGCUGAAAAACUACCGCCUCAUCGUUUAUAUGACUGCACUAUCAACCUACUACCUGGUACUAUGCCUCCUAGGGGUACUGUGUAUCCUCUCACAGUUAAUGAAAAUAAGGUACUAGAAGAAUAUAUUACAGAGAAUCUAAGAAAAGGUUUCAUAACCAAGUCCUCUUCACCUGCUGGGGCAGGUUUCUUUUUUGUCUCAAAGAAAGAGGGGGAUUUACGACCAUGUAUCGACUACUGGGAUUUGAAUAAAAUAUCCAUACGUAAUGCCUACCCAAUACCUUUAAUAACAGAACUAUUUGACAGGUUUAAGGGAGCAUCUAUAUUUACUAAACUAGAUUUAAGAGGGGCAUAUAAUCCAGUUAGAAUUAAACACAGGGAUGAAUGGAAAACAGCCUUCACUACUCAUCAUGGCCACUACAAGUAUAGGGUAAUGCCCUUCGGCUUAUGUAAUGCCCCAGCAGUCUUUCAACAUUUCAUGAAUGAUGUGUUAAGAGAUAACCUACAAGAGUUUGUAAUUGUUUAUUUAGAUGAUAUCUUGAUCUAUUCUAAGAACAUCAAGGAACAUCAUGUCAGACAGGUCAUAUCUAAACUAUUAGAGAAUGGAUUUUAUUGUAAAUUGGAAAAAUGUAUUUUCGACAAAGACAAGAUACACUUUUUGGGGUACAUAAUAUCGGGUUCUGGUUUUCAGAUGGAACCUGAGAAACUUGAGGCCAUCUUACAUUGGCCCUUACCUAUUGGUCUAAAAGCGAUACAACGUUUUUUUAGGCUUCGCCAACUAUUAUAGGAAAUUUAUCAAAGGAUUUUCCUCUAUUACUGCUCCUAUCAUGUCCAGAAGCAGUUCGGAGUCCAGAAGCUAGGGCUGCUUUUGAGGCAUUAAAGAAAGCCUUUUCAUCAACACCCAUAUUAAGACAUCCCGAUCCCUCUCGUUCUUUCCUACUAGAGGUGGAUGCAUCCGAGACUGGUAUAGGGGCGGUAUUAUCCCAAAAACCCUCAGAUGAUCUACCUUUACAUCCUUGCGGUUCUUAUUCAAAAAAAUUGACAGAGACUGAAAAAAGGUAUGACAUUGGGGACAGGGAAUUGUUGGCAAUCAUUUCGGCCCUCAAGGAGUGGCGAGGGGUCUGUUAUACCUAUUACCAUACUUACCGAUCAUAAGAACCUUCCCUAUUUCGGGGAAGCUAAAAGAAUGACAGAUAGACAGACAGGUCCAUUGGUCCUUGUUAUUAACAUGUUUUAAUUACAUAGUGACAUAUAGACCUGGAUCAAGGAAUACUAAGGCUGAUGCCUUGUCCCAACAAUAUGAACCACAAUCCUCUACCGAGACCCAAAUAUCAUCCAUAAUACCAGCCGAACGCAUUAUAGCCACCAUCCAAGCUAACGUCUCCUCUGGCUUACUGGAGAAAUUAUCCAAACUCCAGCAUCACUCUUCUUUACCCAUUCCCCGGGGGAAAUUAUAUGUACCUCUUGUUCAUAGGGAAAAAGUCUUGUCCUUGAUGCACAAUUCCAAAAUAGCCAGUCAUCCCGGUAUCCAUAAAACUGAAUCCCUCCUUGAAAAGAAAUUUUGGUGGCCUUCCUACAAGAAGGAUGUCAGAGAAUUUGUUCUUACCUGUAAUAUCUGUUCAUCUACCAAAAUACUUAAAAGACAUCCUUGUGGCCUUCUCAUGCCGUUACCCAUUCCUGAUAAACCUUGGUCUAGUAUUGCCAUGGAUUUUAUAGUUGAAAAAUGGCGCAUCUUGUUCCCUUGGUCAAACUGCCGUCUUGCUCUGAAUUGGCCACUCUGUUUAUAAGGGAGGUUGUUCGCUUACAUACCGAAUGAUAUAACUUCUGAUAGGGGUCCACAAUGUAUUUCUCGGUUUUGGAAGGCAUUCUUUAACCAAUUGGGCAUUUACCUUAAUAUUUCUUCUUCAUAUCAUCCUCAGUCCAAUGGCGUUACUGAAAGGAUGAAUCAAUCACUCGAGCAGUAUAUUCGUUGCUUUACUUCCGAUCAUCAAGACGAUUGGGUGGAAUUACUCCCUUGGGCUGAAUUUGCCCAUUACAUUCAGGUUCACGAAUCUACGCAACACAGUCCUUUUUUUUUAUCAAUUAUGGCUUGACCCUACUACUCUUCUGAGUUCCCUUUCUUCUACUGGAGUGCAGAGUGUAAACAGCACUAUGAAAAGUAUUAAGGAAAUUUGGUCAGGGGUUAAACAAAUAUUGGUUCAAAGGUCCAAGACACAAAAGUGUACUGCAGAUAGAUCUCAUAGAGCUGCUCCUACUUAUGUUGUGGGUGACAAGGUGUGGUUAAGUACACGUAAUAUUAAACUGAAAGUACCCUCGAUGAAGUUUGCUCUACGUUAUAUUCGUCCUUUCAAAAUACUUAAUUGCAUUAACCCAGUCUGUUACAGGUUGCUCUUGCCCGCCUCUAUGAAAAUACCGAACGCCUUCCAUGUUUCUCUCCUUAAACCUUUGGUAUGUAAUUGUUAUAUCAAAAAACAUUCCUUCAAUACUCGUGGAGGGUCAAAACAAAUAGGAAGUCAGGUAGGGGUAAACUCCAAUAUCUGAUUGAUUGGAAAGGGUAUGGUCCCGAGGAGAGGUCAUGGGUUGAUGCCUCUGAUGUUUAUGCCCCUCAUUUACUUUGUUGGUUUCGCAAACGCUGUUCUCGUGGGUCUGGUUCUCCCUGCCCAGUGGGCGGUUCUCGAGGGGGAGGGAACGAUAUCUUACCUUUCUCCUCCAGACCCACGCGGCAUGGCUUCUUCUUCCGACACUUCCGGGAAGCGGCGUAGCCUGUCUGACUCCGGCCGCUCCAAACACGCCUCUUCUUAUGAUGCGACGCAUGAGCGUGAAAUUCAUGACAAUACUGCCGCUAAAAAUUCAAAUGAUUCCACACUCCCUGACAUUUUGGGGGCAUGGAAUUAAUGCUACAAGCACUACACUAUAAAAGGGCACCUUUUACACUUGUUCAGUGCCCUAUUGUGGUUCUUUCUUGGUUCCCUCUAGUGCUAUAUAGUUUCUCUAUUGUUAUUCUGGUAUUUUGACUUCUGGCUUACCCUUUUUGACUAUUCUUCUCUCUGGUAUCCUGACUUUGGCUUGUUUAUUCGUGUCUCCACUUUCGGGUAUCCCCUGACUCUUGACUAUUUCUUUGACUAUUCUAUAGCAUUAAACCCGGCCACACUAAGGUCCGGUAAUACGCUUCCUUAUAGAUUGCACUCUGCAUGUUUGGGUCACUGUCGUGACAACUGGAGGAUUGGGAUUGCACCAAUGAUUGCACCAAGUCAAUUAAACUCACCUGGUUCAGUCUCCUUACUGCAACUCUGGUCCUCCUGUGAAGUCAUCAUUAUGGAUUGUCACAAAUACUCCAAGCAUGCUAGUGACUUGGUUCUGGGGGCUAAAAAGGAUAAAAUUCACUAUUUGUCUGCCUAGACCAAAAAUACUGAUUAAAAUAAUCACUUAACACCAACCACACUUAACUUUAGUAUCAAAAGCUGCCAUCACCACGUUAAUGUAUAAUAAAAGGAGCCUUGGUUCACACAAGAACUUAAUAUUGGAAUAUUUAUUAUGAAAUAGUCAAAGUGCAAACAACAGAAACAUAGAUGGUAAACAAAUAAUUUACAACAACAACAGAUACAAAUAUCUGUUCACACCUGGCAGAAGGAUAAUUGUGGGCUGAGUAAGAAUUCAUAUUGUAAACCUUUUUCUGUGAUCUAAAAUUUAGCACAUUCAUAUACAACUAAAUUAACCCUUCUCAUACUGAAUUCAGUCACACUACUACUACUGGGUGACCAAUGUGUGUAUACAUUAAAAAACAAAUAUAGAUGUAUUGGAGUGUAUGCAUAGGGGCAAUUGCACUUUAGGUGCUGCUUUUGUUUGCACAUUUAUUGGCACAGUUUAUAGGAAAACCUUUUUAGACAUUAUUGUUGCCCCACUUUUUACUUGUUGUUGUAUGUGUAUUAUGUAUACAUUACACAGAUUAUAUUUAAAAGCUAUAUUUCUAUAGUGCAGCAAUGAAUUGUACCUGCUGGACAUGACACGGAAAACACGUGCCCACGGAAAUGUUUCCCAUAGGUAAGCACUGAGACACACCAGCAAUGCUUUCCUGUGAGACACUUCCACUUUGAAAUAUAGAUCAAAAUAAGGAAGAAAGUCAUGCUGACUCAAGAUGCUAGAGGGAUUAAUAAAAAUGUAAAUUUCUAUUAAAAUUAACACUUUUAUAGAAUAAACCUGCAGGGAAGAGUAUUAGAGUACUUUAAUCUCCCUUUAACAAGUAAAAAAAAAUCCCUUCACCACAAUGUAUGCAGAGUAUUAAAUACCAUGAGUAAGUACACAAUGCAUUUAGUGCAAAUUACACUUGAUCUCAGGCAUACCGCUUGCGAAGGGUCUUACUAUGUUUUUAGUUAGAAAUGUGAACUAUGCUAGGAAACCUCAAACAAAAUUAAAACAAACACGAAAACCAACACAUGAAUAAACUAAUAACUAGAAUUACUCGAAUAUAUCAAAACAAAAAACCGCUUACAAAUGCAAUAUGUUUAGUCUUCCAGAUAAAAAGGACACUAUAGUCACCAAAACAAAUUUAGCAUAAUGAAGAGGUUUUGGAGUAUAGAUCAUGCCCCUGCAGUCUCACUACUCAAUUCUCAGUCAUUUAGGACUUAAAUCACUUUCUUAAUGCAGCCCAAGGCCCACCUCCCUGCAUGUGAGUUACACAGCCUUCCUAAAAACUUCCUGUAAUUUGUUAUCUAAUGUUUACACAUCCUUUAUUGCAAAUUCUGUUUAAUUUAUAUAUAUUUAUGUCAUAUCUCCUGCUCUGUUAAUAGCUUGCUAUACCAUGCAGGAGCCUCCUGUAUGUGAUUCAGGUUCAAUUUACAAAGCAGGAAUUAACAUUUUUUAAAGUAAGUUACAUCUGAUGAAAAUGAAACCAUUUUGUGUCAGUCACAGCUAGGGGAGGUCUGGCUAGUACUAAAAGGACAGAAACAAAAGUGAUUUACGUCCUACAUGGCAGAUAAUUGAGCAGUGAAACUUCAGAGGCAUACACCAAAAUUGCCUCUUUAAGGUACAAUUGUUUAGGUGACUAUAGUAUUUCUUUAAGUAUAUAAUGUGUAAUUAAUAAGUUCUAAACAAUGUGCUUGCACUCCUCUUGCAUAACACAUUUCAAAUUUAAACAAUAUAAUAUUUUAUAAUCUCAAUUAUGAGUCAAUGAUGAGGAAUGCUUUUUCAAGCACCAGAAACCACGAGUCACUGAUAUAACGCCUGCAAGUUUGCCGAAAAUGUGUGCUCCACCCUUCUUAAAACAGUGUAGCAAGUUUGAAUGUGAAGUUUCAAUGAUUGCUAUAGCAGUUUUAAAUACCUUUAUUUUAGAAAUACAUGAUUUAAGUGUAUGUACUUUAUGUGUGCAUGUCACAUACUGUUUGGUAUUUGACCAUUUUUAUUUAUUUUUGUCACAUCUACUGUAUGUAAAACUUGCAUUUUGAGGGGGAGGGGGGCGGGGCCUGACUGCCAUAAGCUGUUAAAUCUGCCAAAAGCUGUUUAAGAUCUCCUCACACAUGCUGUGCACUCUCGAGAACCCCUGUGGCUACCCACCUGCGGCAAUAUCGCUGGCGGCUAAAGGCUCCAUGACGGGACAGGGUUGUGGCCUACAGGCGACUGGGGGGGGGGAGAGGCGGCCGCUCUCCUCGAUUGAUUACUUGGACCCAUCCUGCUCCUACCUCCCCCACUCUGGUUCGGUGGGAGUUAUCACGGUCCACACACGAGUGGUGACCCACUCAUCUUUGCAGCAUCUGGCGGUUCCUGUGGAGCUGACUCCCUGUGACUGGCGGGCUAGGGUGGCUGCUGAGGAGAUACCCACAGCUCUCCAAAUGCCCACUACUUGGGCCUGACAUGCAGAGCACCUGUAUAGAAUAUUUGAGCUCUUGUGGUCGCAAUUUUGGCUUAGAAUUGAACGCCGAAGGAUGAGAGCUGAGACAGCAGCUGCAGUAAAGCCUGGUCACCUAAGGAGCAAUACCAAGCUUAACCCCUUAAGGACACAUGACGUGUGACAUGUCAUGAUUCCCUUUUAUUCCAGAAGUUUGGUCCUUAAGGGGUUAAAGGACCACUAUAGGCACCCAGGCCACUUCAGCUUAAUGAAGUGAUCUGGGUGCCAGGUCCAUCUAAGAUUAACCCUGCCUGCUUUAAACAUAGCAGUAUCAGAGAAACUGCUAUGUUUACAUAUGGGUUAAUCCAGCCUCUAGUGGCUGUCUCAUUGACAGCUGCUAGAGGCGCUUCGGCGCUUCUCACUGUGAUUUUCACAAUGAGAAGAUGCCAGCGUCCAUAGGAAAGCAUUGAGAAUGCUUUCCUAUGGACUGGCUAAAUGCGCGCACGGCUCUUGCCGCACAUGCGCAUUCAGCCGAUGACAACCGAAGGAGGAGGAGAGUCCCCAGCACCGAGGGAGCCCGGCACUUGAGAAAGGUGAGUGUUUAAACCCCUUCCUCCCCAUUCAGACCGGUGGGAGUGGGACCCGAGUUUGUUUUCCUGGCACUAUUGUGGUCCUUUAAGCCCGCUGGGCAAAACUCUGCAACAGUGCUGACAGGGAAGAAGCGAGGAAGGCUUAUUAGAACUGCCAACACGUUCCUACUGUGAACCAUUACAAUCGGCACAUAAAACACCCUUGGAGGGAUCAUAUUCAUCAUGAGAAAAUGCAAUAUAGAUGAGGACCACUACCCCAGGUGACUCUACAAGCUAAACCAUGUGUUUACACUUACCCGGGUUCAUCAGGGACAGAUAAAUCUUUGCAUCUCUGGCAGCUGUCACAGCAGUUUGCACCAAAUACCUGUCACUUUUGCCUGACUGGACAAUCCACUGAACGGGACUGUGCACUGCCAUUGAUGGUAAUUGGCUAGCUGAAGAUGCAGGGUCUUACUUAUCACAAGUCACCCUCUACACCAGGACAUACACAGAAGUACCCAGAUCCACUAGUCUAGCUUGAUAUUUAAUACCUCUGGCUAAGCAAGCACCCAGUGCAAAAAAAAAGGUGCAAUUUACUGUAUUGUUUUACUAGCUGGUUAUAACUUACUCUAUUGAUAUCUCUAUUAUACAACGAGCAAUGCCCAUGAUAUAUUCAUGCACAUCAAAAAUAAAGAAUUUCAAAAAAUGAUUUGCAUUUUUGCUUUUAUACUACUUUUCAAACUCUGUGUGAAAAAUUACAAGAUAAAGGGCACUGAACAAGUUUGCUCUUACAUUUGUCUGCAAAGCUAUGUUAUGAUAUGUUUAUAUGCCAGCUAUGCCUGCCUUGCUUAAAAUACAUGUUAUGCUAAUAUUUUUUCAAUCAAACAGUGCUUAGUAGCGAACAGGUUGAAACAUUUCAGCAAACCUAAAAGCCAUCAUACUUGAGAUUAAUUUAUACUAAAUAAGACAUUGUUGAAAAAAAACCUAUUGACAUAAAUAAUUUUUUGUGAUGCAGAAAUCUGUUUUCACUGCUGGUAUUUACAUUGUUCUGAGAAAAAUGUUGUGAUUUAUUUUUUGCCAUUGAUUAUUAUUACAUAUUAUUAUUAUUAUUAUUAAUGUUUCUGAGUAGAUCCAC
Molecule: non-coding RNA, 10180 nt
Organism: Pelobates cultripes (western spadefoot toad)
Lineage: Eukaryota; Metazoa; Chordata; Amphibia; Anura; Pelobatidae
Source: the annotation of a GenBank genome assembly